UCCAUUAAAUGGUGGGUCCCAACCUCAUAUGUUGGAGUCACAUGCAGUUUGACUUUUAUGCUUGCCAUGCUAAUUAUGACAUUACUGUAGACAAAAUUUGCCAUUAAGUUUUCUGAGUCAAUUCUUUCCCUUGGGGACCAGGGUGAAAACCCAAAAAAACCAGGAGCUCCCCACAAUGUUCGGCUUUAUUCAAUUGCAUCCACCAGGUAUGGAGACUUUUUUGAUGGGAAGACAACCACCCUGUGUGUUCGCCGUGCUGUCUAUUAUGACCCUGUGACUGGAAAAGAGGAUCCUUCAAAAAAUGGUGUGUGCAGCAAUUAUCUUUGUGAUUCAAAGCCUGGAGACAAAAUCAAGAUCACUGGUAAGGCUGUUUGAUAUUGUAGAAGGUUAUACUAAAUCAAGUUGUCCUAUUUGCCAAACCUAUAAAAAAAAACAUAAAAAAUUAACCCAUUUGUCAAAUUCCUAAGAAUCAGCUAUAGGAAUCUAAUUUUUCUUGUUUAUACCACUAGUUAAAGUACAUUUAUCUAGCUUGCAACCAAUUCUGAUGAGUAUAAUGGUAAUACAUUUUUUAAUAGCACGUCUAAUGUUGACAUUGACUAAGAAGACAUAAUGAAUGUGAAAAGCAUUAUUUUUCUUGCUAGUUUGGAUUAUAUGGCAAGUCUAUUUAUGGUAUAUUAUAUAUGGAAAGAUCUAGAAAGUAAUUUUCAUAAUUUUAUAGGAAUUAUAGCUUAGAACUAGAACUUUGCUAGUUUAGAUGACUCUUCUUAUGUAAAGUGCAUGUUCAUCAAAUCAUCCCUCCCCUAACACAAAUAACUUAUGUAGGCUGAAGUAAUCCUACUCUAUUUAAAAACACUUUGAAUGGUAAUUCAAUAACUUAUUUUAUGCUAGUUGAUUCAUGCUUAUUCUGUUUUCAUGCUUCUGGUAUCAAGACACAAUUGGCUCAAACUCAUAAUCAGAUGAACUUAAAAUUUCUCGGUCCAAUGGGAAGUAGAGAUUAUCUUUUUGGUGUAGAUUAUGGCAUUCACACUUUAUAUUUCUAUGAGUUGAAUUUAGAUAUCUUGGCAGGUCCCUCUGGUAAGAUUAUGCUUUUGCCAGAAGACGACCCAAAUGCUACUCACAUAAUGAUUGCUACUGGUACUGGAGUGGCUCCAUAUAGAGGUUACCUCCGCCGCAUGUUUAUGGAGGAUGUCCCUUCAUUCAGGUUUGGUGGUCUAGCUUGGCUGUUCCUUGGGGUGGCCAAUACUGACAGUCUCCUCUAUGACAAUGAGUUCACCAAGUAUCUUAAGGACUACCCAGAUCAGUUUAGAUAUGACAAGGCUCUUAGUAGAGAACAAAAGAACAGGAAUGGAGGCAAGAUGUAUGUUCAGGAUAAGAUUGAGGAAUACAGUGAUGAGAUUUUCAAGCUGUUGGAUGGUGGAGCCCAUAUAUAUUUUUGCGGGCUUAAGGGAAUGAUGCCUGGGAUCCAAGAAACUCUUAAGAGGGUUGCAGACCAGAGAGGAGAGAACUGGGAAGAGAAGCUUGCACAGCUCAAAAAGAACAAGCAAUGGCAUGUUGAAGUCUAUUGAUCUUGCAUAACUGUGCAUCAAGAGAAUGCUGGAGCCUCUUCCUGUAAGGCAGUAUGGCAUUUGUUCUUUUCCUGGUCAGUUUAUCUUACUAAACAAGAAACUUGACUAGAAGUUGCCAUUCAUCUGUAUUAUUGUUAUUUUACUGAAAUAAAGACAAGUUAUUAUCUUGAUUGUGAAAACUGUUUUUGCACUGCUGUUUUAUUGUCUAAAGCUUUUGAUAAAUGCUCAGAUAUGCUGUAUUCUGUCAAUUUCAAUUGUCUUCUAUUGUCAAGCCUUUCUGGUAUCUAGGGAUAAAAAUAAGACUAUUGUUUUAAUAACCUGUCCUGUCUUUUGGUUUGUGGAGGGCUUGAAGCUGGGACAUGCUGUAAUUGGGGUUGUGUUCUCAAAUGGGAAGUGGGGAUUGUGAUUUGUUUGAGUGGGAGAAGAGGGGAUUUUUGGGUUUAUUUGUGUUAUGGCUACCGCCAUGCUACCAUCAUCCCCUCCUAAACAGAUGGUGAUCAACUUAGCAAGGGCAGCUUGAAACAUCACCCUGCAAUGUGACACACUAAUUAAGAAAGAAAACAGGUUUGGCUUACCAGGAUAGCUGCAUUGCGAGAGAAAACAGGUUGAGCCUCCUGAGUCUGGGACUUCACAGAGCCUGAGCCUGAGGCAUAGCAGGGGAAACAAUUCUCUCCUGAUCACUAGAGCCUGAGCCAUUCAUUUUCUUAUGACAAACUUUAUAUCAUCUUCAACAGAUCCUAUGUGAACAGAUUUCAACCACAUAAUUCUUAUCAAUGUGCUUAUUUUUCCAAUCCCCCCCAAAUUGUUUCAUUUUUUUUCACG
This 2387-nucleotide long non-coding RNA is filed under the name Vitis vinifera (wine grape). Its description in RNAcentral is "long non-coding RNA (VVIN_LNC003207)". Lineage: Eukaryota; Viridiplantae; Streptophyta; Magnoliopsida; Vitales; Vitaceae. The record is from RNAcentral.